Molecule: ribosomal RNA, 342 nt
Filed under: uncultured fungus
Lineage: Eukaryota; Fungi
Description: eukaryotic LSU rRNA
Rfam family: 5.8S ribosomal RNA (bases 1-71)
Source: RNAcentral
GUGAGUCAUCGAGUCUUUGAACGCACCUUGCGCUCCUUGGUAUUCCGAGGAGCAUGCCUGUUUGAGUGUCAUGAAAUUCUCAACCUUUCCGGCUUUUUCAAAAGCUAGUUGGGCUUGGAUUAUGGAAGUUGCUGGUUCUUAAAAAUCUAAGCUCUUCUCAAAUAUUAUUAAGCAGUCCUUUUGCUGACCGAUCAUUGGUAUGAUAAUUAUCUAUACCACUGAGAAACAGCCUCCCUAGUGGAGAGGUUCGGCUUCUAAUCGUCCUUACAAGACAAUUUGACAACUUUGGCCUCAAAUCAGGUAGGACUACCCGCUGAACUUAAGCAUAUCAAUAAGCGGAGG